Molecule: transfer RNA, 59 nt
Filed under: Caldisericota bacterium
Lineage: Bacteria; Pseudomonadati; Caldisericota
Description: tRNA-Val
Source: RNAcentral
UGGCUCAGCGGCUAGAGCACUUGCUUCACACGCAAGGGGUCACAGGAUUCGAACCUGUG